Long non-coding RNA from Lytechinus pictus (painted urchin), 386 nucleotides. RefSeq lists it as uncharacterized. The transcript is spliced from 4 exons. The record is from RefSeq and is a predicted model, not a curated record. NCBI's taxonomy places the organism in Eukaryota, Metazoa, Echinodermata, Echinoidea, Temnopleuroida, Toxopneustidae.
UCUUCAACAAUCCAUACACAUGGUUCAGCCGCCCAACAUGCCCAAAGAGAUCCGAAGAGUAGCACUGAAGCGUCAAGCAGUCAAUCCAACAUUCUGGCUUCUUCGUUGUUAGCAACAUCAUCAUCUUUCGCAGUAAGACCCAUUUCCGGAGUUGAGACACCCCAGUGCCAUACACCUGUUUCCAACACAGCCUCUAUCCCUAUUGACCUGACAAGUGACAUUGAAGCUUCAAGCCCCUGGUCCCCCCGGCUACCUUUGGUGAAAGAUUUCCGUCCUUGGCCUGACCUAUGUAUUAUGUAUUGGUAUAUCUUGUUUCUUCAUUACAACAACCAUCCUUCCAGCAGUUCUCGACCAUAUGCAUCAUCUUCAUAUCUCUCUUGUCCUAG